This 2694-nucleotide long non-coding RNA is filed under the name Salmo salar (Atlantic salmon). Its description in RNAcentral is "lncRNA (ENSSSAG00000090425.1)". The record is from RNAcentral. Lineage: Eukaryota; Metazoa; Chordata; Actinopteri; Salmoniformes; Salmonidae.
GUGGUUGUAUUAGGGGCUGGUAGUGAUGUAGCUAGGUGGUUGUAUUAGGGGCUGGUAGUGAUGUAGCUAGGUGGUUGUAUUAGGGGUUGUGAUGUAGCUAGGUGGAUGUAUUAGGGGUUGUGAUGUAGCUAGGUGGUUAUAUUAGGGGUUGUGGUGUAGCUAGGUGGAUGUAUUAGGGGUUGUGAUGUAGCUAGGUGGUUAUAUUAGGGGUUGUGAUGUAGCUAGGUGGUUAUAUUAGGGGUUGUGGUGUAGCUAGGUGGUUAUAUUAGGGGUUGUGGUGUAGCUAGGUGGUUAUUAUAGGGGUUGUGGUGUAGCUAGGUAGUUGUAUUAGGGGCUGGUUGUGAUGUAGCUAGGUGGUUGUAUUAGGGGUUGUGAUGUAGCUAGGUGGUUGUAUUAGGGGUUGUGAUGUAGCUAGGUGGUUGUAUUAGGGGUUGUGGUGUAGCUAGGUGGUUGUAUUAGGGGUAGUGAUGUAGCUAGGUGGUUGUAUUAGGGGCUGGUAGUGAUGUAGCUAGGUGGUUGUAUUAGGGGCUGGUAGUGAUGUAGCUAGGUGGUUGUAUUAGGGGUUGUGAUGUAGCUAGGUGGUUGUAUUAGGGGAUGUGAUUUAGCUAGGUGGUUGUAUUAGGGGUUGUGAUGUAGCUAGGUGGUUGUAUUAGGGGUUGUGAUGUAGCUAGGUGGUUGUAUUAGGGGUUGUGAUGUAGCUAGGUGGUUGUAUUAGGGGUUGUGAUGUAGCUAGGUGGUUGAAUUAGGGGUUGUGAUGUAGCUAGGUGGUUGUAUUAGGGGUUGUGGUGUAGCUAGGUGGUUGUAUUAGGGGUUGUGAUGUAGCUAGGUGGUUGUAUUAGGGGUUGUGAUGUAGCUAGGUGGUUGUAUUAGGGGUUGUGAUGUAGCUAGGUGGUUGUAUUAGGGGUUGUGAUGUAGCUAGGUGGUUGUCUUAGGGGUUGUGAUGUAGCUAGGUGGUUGUAUUAGGGGCUGGUAGUGAUGUAGCUAGGAGGUUGUAUUAGGGGCUGGUAGUGAUGUAGCUAGGUGGUUGUAUUAGGGGCUGGUAGUGAUGUAGCUAGGUGGUUGUAUUAGGGGCUGGUAGUGAUGUAGCUAGGUGGUUGUAUUAGGGGUUGUGAUGUAGCUAGGUGGUUGUAUUAGGGGUUGUGAUGUAGCUAGGUGGUUAUAUUAGGGGUUGUGGUGAUGUAGCUAGGUGGUUGUAUUAGGGGUUGUGGUGAUGUAGCUAGGGGGUUGUAUUAGGGGUUGUGAUGUAGCUAGGUGGUUGUAUUAGGGGUUGUGGUGAUGUAGCUAGGGGGUUGUAUUAGGGGUUGUGAUGUAGCUAGGGGGUUGUAUUAGGGGUUGUAAUGUAGCUAGGUGGUUGUAUUAGGGGUUGUAAUGUAGCUAUGUGGUUGUAUUAGGGGUUGUGGUGGUGUAGCUAGGUGGUUGUAUUAGGGGUUGUGGUGUAGCUAGGUGGUUGUAUUAGGGGUUGUGGUGUAGCUAGGUGGUUGUAUUAAGGGUUGUGGUGUAGCUAGGUGGUUGUAUUAGGGGUAGUGAUGUAGCUAGGUGGUUGUAUUAGGGGCUGGUAGUGAUGUAGCUAGGUGGUUGUAUUAGGGGCUGGUAGUGAUGUAGCUAGGUGGUUGUAUUAGGGGUUGUGAUGUAGCUAGGUGGUUGUAUUAGGGGUUGUGGUGUAGCUAGGUGGUUGUAUUAGGGGUUGUGAUGUAGCUAGGUGGUUGUAUUAGGGGUUGUGAUGUAGCUAGGUGGUUGUAUUAGGGGUUGUGGUGUAGCUAGGUGGUUAUAUUAGGGGCAGGUCAUGUGUGUACAUGCGAGCAUUAUCAGUCCGGCCGUGGUGGAGGAUACGGGGGCCGGUUCUGGUGGGCCGGUCUGGAUCAAAGUCCAGGGCCAUUCCGCCCCUGCUCUGAGACACUUUGUGGAUACGGGCCCUGAAGAGAUAAGCUUUGUGUUAGCAUUAAGCACAAUAGUGAUGGAUCCACCUAUUCAUCCUAUGUUCUUAGGGAAGGCAGCCAUAUUGUAGACCUAUCAGAGUUUUGAAUUAAAAGGCAAGCAAAGGAGGUAGAGGCUCAGGAAAGUGGCUGGGCUUGUUUUCACAUAGAUCCAGAUAGAAAUACAGUAGAAAUUAAACAGUUAUGGCAUACACACAUUCAUCACUUUCUGUGUCUCACGCUCACACACACAUACAAAGAACAGUGUGAGGGUCACAUAGUGUGGUAGAGGGUGCUGACAGUCCAUUUUUUCAGCCUACGUGGGGGGGGGUGUCCUUCCAUACUGCUGUCGUGUUGCCACGGACAUCAGGUAGGGCAUUGGCGAAGGGGCGUGACCAGCGUCAGGAACUUUCCCCCUCUGCCAGCCCUGAUUAGACGGAGGAGAAUGCAAGUGUUCUGAGGGGGGUGUGUCCACACUUACAAGGCCCCUCCACUCCGGUCCUGAGGGACUCGGCCCUGCUGGUUGAGACAGAAGUAGUCAGACAGGGGGCAUUGUGGGAUAGCACCCUCCGUUUCUUGGAGGACUCGUCAGCUGCUACCAAAGGAGGGGUUCCACGGUGGGCAUCGCGGGAGCGGUAGGGCUAAGAUCCCAGCCACUCAGGUCAUUGGCCGACAACUCUAGACAGCCCAGUUUAGCCAAUGAGGCAGAGCGCUUCAUCAGGGAGGGCAGGGUCAGUCCAGCCUGGCGAAUCCGGGCCUCUACCUCUUUGGCUCUCUGCCG